Lycium barbarum (goji berry) is the source of this 3036-nucleotide long non-coding RNA. RefSeq lists it as uncharacterized. The transcript is spliced from 2 exons. The record is from RefSeq and is a predicted model, not a curated record. NCBI's taxonomy places the organism in Eukaryota, Viridiplantae, Streptophyta, Magnoliopsida, Solanales, Solanaceae.
UCCCCUAAUGCCUCCUCCAUCAAUACUCAAAAUUGUCACGUUGGUCUCCAUUGUUUUUUUUAGUGAUCAAUCAGAGCUAAAAGAAUCGUUCUAAGAGAGGUAAAGAAGAGAAACUUUAGUGAUCAAUCAGAGCUAAAAGAAUCGUUCUAAGAGAGGUAAAGAAGUGAAACUUUAGUGAUCAAUAACAAAAUUCAAUUGUAUAUAUAGGAAAAUUCCAUCCCAAAUAGCAGGGGAUUCGGAUUCAAAUGUUACUUUUAUGAAAAUAAUAAAUUGUAAAACUUAACUAAGAAACUUUAAAUUUGGAAACUUUCAACAGGAAAAUAAUUAAAAAUUAAUAUCACAAGUCUUUCCAAAACUACCCAACAAAAUAGAGAACCAAAAACCCACGUGCGGACUAGUAGAAAGAAAAGUGUUAGCGAUUCCUAUCAGGAAAGGAAUUGGUUGGAAACAAAGAGUGUUAGCGAUUCCUAUCAGGAAAGGAAUUGGUUGGAAACAAAAAUAAAAGGUUUUUCCCUUUAAUAUCACUCGUCUUAAUUACCCAAUUUACAUGACACAUCUUCUUUUUUAAUCAAUCCCCCAAAAAAUAACACAUUUCCUAAUUGUCAACGAUUUAACUUUAAACUUUACCUUUUACAUUUAACGAGAUGAUUUAUAAUCACACAAAUAUCUUUGACUUGUUUUAGACCACAAGAUUCAAAAGUCUUCCUUUAUUUCUUAAACUCCGUACCCAGUCAAACUAAUCACAUAAAUUAGGAAGGAGUGAGUAGUAAUAGUGACAUCACUGAAAAAUAAAACAAUAUAGACAAACAUAAGAUUUUUGAGACCAAUUAAAUUCAUAUCACAGUUUGUACUCUCUUUUGUCCUAAUUUAUGUGACACUUUUUGUUUUUUAAGAUUCAAUGUUUUUAGUUUUGAUCUUGUGUUUGAAUAUAAAAUCUUUAAAUUCUUCAAAAUAAAAUUUCUAUAUUUGGAAACUAAGUAAAAAAUAUUAUUACUCAUAAUAAUUAAUAAUUUAAAAUAUUUAAAAGGCAUGUGCCCAAAAGGCAUUUUUUGCGGUUAAAAAAUGGCUAUAUGGCAUACUUCUCCCUUUAAACAGCUUUAGGAUUACAACUUACAAGAUACUUAAAAGGAAACUGAAAACAUCGGCCCACAUUAAGCUUGACCUAAUAUUACAAUUUUUUGGGCGCAUUGGCCUUCUUUUGGGGUGCUCUUUAAUUUUUGUCUCUCAAAUCGGUGGUUUUUAAUUUUUGUCCUUUAUUUAAUAUUUUGCGGUUCUGAGUUUGAACCCAGCUCAGUAAAAAGAAAGAAAAUUUGCAAAGCAAAGAUUUGGAUUCACAAGGCAGAAUUUUGCGAUUUUUUUUAAUUUUAGACUGAGCGGAGUUCGAACCCGAAACAAGAGGUUUGAAGGGCAAAAAUUACAUUUUUUUUUGCACGGAUUAUCCUUCAUUUGGGGUGGUCUUUAAGUUUUGCACUUUAUCUAAUACUCCAAGGUUGUGGGUUCGAAAAAAAAUUCGCAAGACAGAAUUUUGCUUCAAAACUCAACCUUAAGACAGAAAUGCAAAUUCUGCCUCAAGGCUGAGUUUUGAAGGCAAAACUUUAUCUUGUGAAUUUUUAAAUUUUUUUAACGGUGCAGGGAUUCAAAUUCGAAACCUUGAGAUUUUUAGCUAAGGGUAAGAAUUAAAGACUAUAAAUUUGAGGGAUAAAAAUUAAAGACCACCCAAAAUAAGGAAAUUCAUGCGAAUUGCCCCUAAUAUUAUGCGAUUAAAAAAGCCCACAAUUACGCCUAUUUUUCAGAGCUAUUAAUAUAGAACCCUUUAUAAAAGCCUCACAUUGCCCCUUUAUACUUCUUCAGAAAAUUUGGGCUUUCCUCCAUAGAAGGUCAGGUUUUACACCUCCCACUUCUAUUUAUCGUAAUAUUAUUUUACUAAUGUUGAUAGUUGAAGAAUAUCCUUUAGAGUGACAAUUGGCUGGGAAAUGUUCUAUUAAAGGAUCUCUUCCUAUAUUUGUAUAAUUUUUACUUUUCUCCUUGGUGUUAUAAUAAGGGAGUUCAGGGGCAACAAGAACGUAAUCUAAGCUUUAGAAGUUGCUGAAUGAUAGAUAGACAGGGAGAGUUGAAUUUUUCAAACAUCUAGAAUUGUUUCAACGAACAAAUAAUUGUGAAGAUUCAUUGAUGCAACAAAAAAACUUAACAGUAAAAACUGUUAUGAUAUUCUUUCAUUAAUGGAGGCCAAGGCAACUCGUGGCUUUGGAAACAAAUCUGAAAACUAAGCUCCCCUUUGGCCAUAACUUGAAACGAGAAAAUUUGAGUUUUUGAAGUUGUGUUUGAACAUGCAUUUUACUUGGAAAAAGUUUGAAGUUGAGUGGAAGUGAAUUUUUUCCUAAAAAUUGGUCUGAGCUAGUUUUUGGAAUUUGAAUAGUUUUUGGAAUUUGAAUAUAUUUUGAAGAUAAAUUUUCAAAAUCUGAUCCAAAAUCUAUGGCCAAACGCUAGCUAAAAUUCCUUGUAAGAUGGUUCUUUUCAAUUAGUGGAUGGCUAAGCAAGCUUGUCUUAAUCUGGAUAUGUGCUCCAAAUGUUAUUUUUGUAAAGCAAGAAUAGAGAGUAAGCAGUCAUAUAUUUUUACAUUGUGGGAUCUCUGAUCAAUGACGGCAGUUGUUUCUUAGCAUGGUUGGACUCAAUGGUGUAUGCCUAGAACUACAAAGGAAUUGUUGAGUUGCUUGGACAAUGCAAGUGGCAGUUUGAGACAAAACACGGUGAAUUUUUUUCUUAACAGCAUUUGGUGGACGAUAUGAAAAAACAGAAAUGAAAGGUGUCUGGAAGAUAGAUGCAGCUCAUUACAAAACAUUAAGAUGAAUUGUAUUUUGUUAUUCACUUUUGGUGUAAAGAAAAGUAUUUUGAUGAAGCUGAAUCAUUCAUAGAAAUAGAAUCCCUGUAAGCUGAGCAUGAUAUGGUUUUUCUUUUUCCAUCUUUUGUAACUUGUAAAUAUGGUUAACGACACUAUCUUUGUGCUGCUGAUUAAUAUAUUGUUACCUAUGUCAAAAA